This 410-nucleotide long non-coding RNA is filed under the name Mus pahari (shrew mouse). RNAcentral describes it as "lncRNA (MGP_PahariEiJ_G0005809.1)". The record is from RNAcentral. Lineage: Eukaryota; Metazoa; Chordata; Mammalia; Rodentia; Muridae.
UGGUCCAGCGAGAUGCUGAAGAAGUCGGGCUCACAGAGCCCCAUUGUGGUGUGUCAGAACCCACAGAAAAUGUUCCUCCUGUGCAUUAUUUAUGACUUUCCUGCAUUUAUAUAGUAUCCAGCUUCCUGAAAGUAAUUUGUUUUGGAUUGUGUAGUGCCGGGCAGCACAUCAAAGGAAAUUAGUGUCGCAACCAAGCCUUCUGGGAAGGUUAUGAAGAUCUUCAAGCCCACUUGGACUGAAUUCUGUAGAAAUCCUGAUUGAACCAAUGUCUAGGCAACCAUGGGACCAGUUUUAAAGUAGUGCCAAGGUGCUAAGUUAAUGAAGAGAAUCUUUCAAGACUGGAAAUUUAGGCUACACUUGAUGGUUAUAAUUUAAAUACUUCUCAAUAAAAGCAUUUCCCAUUUUAAAAA